RNAcentral lists this ribosomal RNA (376 nucleotides) under uncultured bacterium. RNAcentral describes it as "bacterial SSU rRNA". It matches the Rfam family "Bacterial small subunit ribosomal RNA", at positions 523 to 898 of the family's 1533-position model. The record is from RNAcentral.
AUACGUAGGGAGCAAGCGUUGUCCGGAAUUACUGGGUGUAAAGGGAGUGUAGGCGGGACGGUAAGUCAGAUGUGAAAUUUAUGGGCUCAACCCAUAAACUGCAUUUGAAACUGCUGUUCUUGAGUGAAGUAGAGGCAGGCGGAAUUCCUAGUGUAGCGGUGAAAUGCGUAGAUAUUAGGAGGAACAUCAGUGGCGAAGGCGGCCUGCUGGGCUUUUACUGACGCUGAGGCUCGAAAGCGUGGGGAGCAAACAGGAUUAGAUACCCUGGUAGUCCACGCUGUAAACGAUGAUUACUAGGUGUGGGGGGACUGACCCCUUCCGUGCCGCAGUUAACACAAUAAGUAAUCCACCUGGGGAGUACGGCCGCAAGGUUGAA